UGGCUCAGGACGAACGCUGGCGGCAUGCCUAACACAUGCAAGUCGAACGAGAAAGUUCCUUCGGGAGCAAUUAAAGUGGCGCACGGGUGAGUAACGCGUAGACAAUCUGCCCUUCAGUCUGGGACAACUUUUCGAAAGGAGAGCUAAUACCGGAUAACAAUGCAUGACACAAGUUGUAUAUUUGAAAGCUUUAUGUGCUGAAGGAGGGGUCUGCGUCCCAUUAGCUAGUUGGUAAGGUAAAGGCUUACCAAGGCAACGAUGGGUAGCGGGUUUGAGAGGACGAUCCGCCACACUGGAACUGAGACACGGUCCAGACUCCUACGGGAGGCAGCAGUGGGGAAUAUUGCACAAUGGAGGAAACUCUGAUGCAGCAAUGUCGCGUGAGUGAAGAAGGCCCUUGGGUCGUAAAGCUCUUUUAUGGGGGAAGAUGAUGACGGUACCCCAAGAAUAAGCACCGGCUAACUAUGUGCCAGCAGCCGCGGUAAUACAUAGGGUGCGAGCGUUGUUCGGAAUUACUGGGCGUAAAGGGCGCGCAGGCGGAAUAG
Molecule: ribosomal RNA, 545 nt
Filed under: uncultured bacterium
Lineage: Bacteria
Description: bacterial SSU rRNA
Rfam family: Bacterial small subunit ribosomal RNA
Source: RNAcentral